RNAcentral lists this transfer RNA (68 nucleotides) under Bramus lutescens (Transcaucasian mole vole). Its description in RNAcentral is "tRNA-Thr". It matches the Rfam family "tRNA". Rfam says of the family: Transfer RNA (tRNA) molecules are approximately 80 nucleotides in length. Lineage: Eukaryota; Metazoa; Chordata; Mammalia; Rodentia; Cricetidae. The record is from RNAcentral.
GCCCGGAUAGUAUAACCAUUACAUUGGUCUUGUAAGCCAAAAAUGAAGUAUCACCACUUCUCCGGACA